Molecule: ribosomal RNA, 253 nt
Filed under: uncultured bacterium
Lineage: Bacteria
Description: partial 16S ribosomal RNA
Rfam family: Bacterial small subunit ribosomal RNA
Source: RNAcentral
UACGUAGGGCGCAAGCGUUAUCCGGAAUUAUUGGGCGUAAAGAGCUCGUAGGCGGUUUGUCGCGUCUGCCGUGAAAGUCCGGGGCUCAACCUCGGGCCUGCAGUGGGUACGGGCAGACUAGAGUGCGGUAGGGGAGAUUGGAAUUCCUGGUGUAGCGGUGGAAUGCGCAGAUAUCAGGAGGAACACCGAUGGCGAAGGCAGAUCUCUGGGCCGUAACUGACGCUGAGGAGCGAAAGCGUGGGGAGCGAACAGG